RNAcentral lists this microRNA precursor (120 nucleotides) under Glycine max (soybean). RNAcentral's name for it is "miR9749 stem-loop (gma-MIR9749)". Lineage: Eukaryota; Viridiplantae; Streptophyta; Magnoliopsida; Fabales; Fabaceae. The record is from miRBase by way of RNAcentral.
GGGCGUAUUAACUGAGAGUGUGAGAGGUGAAGGAAGCUAAUCUUGACCAUUCAAUCUUAAUAGGGAUUCGGUGUUCGUGAUUAGCUUCUUUCACCUUUCCCACUUUCACCUAAUAGGCUC